Molecule: ribosomal RNA, 290 nt
Filed under: uncultured bacterium
Lineage: Bacteria
Description: partial 16S ribosomal RNA
Rfam family: Bacterial small subunit ribosomal RNA
Source: RNAcentral
GUGGAUUAGAUACCCUGGUAGUCCUAGCUGUAAACGAUGGAUGCUAGGUGUGAGCAGAACUAACCCUGCGCGUGCCGAAGCUAACGCGUUAAGCAUCCCGCCUGGGAACUACGAGCGCAAGCUUAAAACUCAAAGGAAUUGACGGGGACCCGCACAAGCAGCGGAGCGUGUGGUUUAAUUCGAUGCUACACGAAGAACCUUACCCAGGUUUGACAUACAGGUAGUAGUGAAGCGAAAGCGGAACGACCCGCAAGGGAGCCUGAACAGGUGUUGCACGGCCGUCGUCAACU